GGGCGCGUAGCUCAGUUGGUUAGAGCAUCUGACUUUUAAUCAGAGGGUCGAAGGUUCGAAUCCUUCCGCGCUCACCA
RNAcentral lists this transfer RNA (77 nucleotides) under Paracoccaceae bacterium. RNAcentral describes it as "Rhodobacteraceae bacterium tRNA-Lys". It matches the Rfam family "tRNA". Rfam says of the family: Transfer RNA (tRNA) molecules are approximately 80 nucleotides in length. Their secondary structure includes four short double-helical elements and three loops (D, anti-codon, and T loops). Lineage: Bacteria; Pseudomonadati; Pseudomonadota; Alphaproteobacteria; Rhodobacterales; Paracoccaceae. The record is from RNAcentral. RNAcentral also lists the same sequence under 2 other names.